Drosophila yakuba is the source of this 815-nucleotide long non-coding RNA. RefSeq lists it as uncharacterized. The record is from RefSeq and is a predicted model, not a curated record. The transcript has 2 exons. Lineage: Eukaryota; Metazoa; Arthropoda; Insecta; Diptera; Drosophilidae.
GCUGGCCAAGCGUGGACUCCGCUCCGCCAUCACGAUCUUUGUAGAAUUUCACUUUCGUUAUUGUUGUCGCCGCUCGCUGUUUUUUCUGUCUACUUAAAGUUUUUCUCCCAUUGAAAUGGAAAACGCAGUGAGAGCCAUGGACUCCAACUGAUUUGGACAUGCCGGUCACGUGGGUGGUGGCAGUGGAUUGUUCGCGGCCAGAACCAGUUGGGGUUAAAGCUGGUUACUUUCUUAUUGAGUUGUCUUCCCAUGAUUCAUUAGAUGCGGUAUUACGACACCAGGGCCCUGAACGUGGCGAAUUAUGAACGACUUUAAACGAUUUUAGCAUAAUCAACGGUAGGGUAACUAAGACGAAGACCCUGCGCAGCGUUGACUUUCUCUCCAUUGGACAGUCGCCCCUCGGACAAUGGAGCUCGCCCAAGAAGGUGCCAAAAUAAGCAAUAACAAAACCUAUAAGCGAACUUAUAACAAAUGGCAGUGGGACGACACCAAAGAUUCGCACACCAAACGAUGAAAUAUUUGAAGCCAUUCUUCGAUCGCAUCUGCUUUAGAUGCCGCCACUCCAUUGACCAGGGAAUAUUGGGUUAUAUAACCGCUAGAUGAGACUAUGGUAACCAGAUCCAGGAGAUAAAUUGAUCUCUUCAAGUUAACAAAGAAUAUCUGAGUUUUAAAUUUUCAGCCCAGUUUGAUAUUGGAAUAUGUUCGCCUAAAGGCUAAAGGAAAAAAGCGGUUUAAUUCAUUCAAAAAAGGUACUUGUGUAAACCGUUUAUAAAGAUUUAAAAUACUACCAUCCAGAAUAUCCAACCAGCUCAUAA